RNAcentral lists this ribosomal RNA (473 nucleotides) under uncultured bacterium. Its description in RNAcentral is "bacterial SSU rRNA". It matches the Rfam family "Bacterial small subunit ribosomal RNA", at positions 335 to 801 of the family's 1533-position model. The record is from RNAcentral.
ACUCCUACGGGAGGCAGCAGUAGGGAAUCUUCCACAAUGGGCGCAAGCCUGAUGGAGCAACACCGCGUGAGUGAAGAAGGGUUUCGGCUCGUAAAGCUCUGUUGUUAAAGAAGAACACGUAUGAGAGUAACUGUUCAUACGUUGACGGUAUUUAACCAGAAAGUCACGGCUAACUACGUGCCAGCAGCCGCGGUAAUACGUAGGUGGCAAGCGUUAUCCGGAUUUAUUGGGCGUAAAGAGAGUGCAGGCGGUUUUCUAAGUCUGAUGUGAAAGCCUUCGGCUUAACCGGAGAAGUGCAUCGGAAGCUGGAUAACUUGAGUGCAGAAGAGGGUAGUGGAACUCCAUGUGUAGCGGUGGAAUGCGUAGAUAUAUGGAAGAACACCAGUGGCGAAGGCGGCUACCUGGUCUGCAACUGACGCUGAGACUCGAAAGCAUGGGUAGCGAACAGGAUUAGAUACCCUGGUAGGAUAGCG